UUAGUGGCGGACGGGUGAGUAACGCGUGGGGAACCUGCCUUGCACCGGGGGAUAACACUUAGAAAUAGGUGCUAAUACCGCAUAAGCGCACAGAGCCGCAUGGCUCGGUGUGAAAAACUCCGGUGGUGCAAGAUGGACCCGCGUCUGAUUAGCUGGUUGGCGGGGUAACGGCCCACCAAGGCGACGAUCAGUAGCCGGCCUGAGAGGGUGAACGGCCACAUUGGGACUGAGACACGGCCCAAACUCCUACGGGAGGCAGCAG
This 262-nucleotide ribosomal RNA is filed under the name uncultured bacterium. RNAcentral's name for it is "partial 16S ribosomal RNA". It matches the Rfam family "Bacterial small subunit ribosomal RNA", at positions 92 to 354 of the family's 1533-position model. The record is from RNAcentral.